Molecule: transfer RNA, 79 nt
Filed under: Anguilla anguilla (European eel)
Lineage: Eukaryota; Metazoa; Chordata; Actinopteri; Anguilliformes; Anguillidae
Description: tRNA-OTHER
Source: RNAcentral
GGCAGUGUAGUCUAAUGGAAAGGGAACUGGGCUUGUAACCCACAGGUCGCAGGUUCGAUUUCCAGGAAGGCCACUGUUA